Molecule: unclassified non-coding RNA, 326 nt
Filed under: uncultured Bacteroidota bacterium
Lineage: Bacteria; Pseudomonadati; Bacteroidota
Description: uncultured Bacteroidetes bacterium contains 16S-23S intergenic spacer region
Source: RNAcentral
UCACUACUUGCGUAGGCAGUCUGGCUAGAGUCCCCACCAUAACGUGCUGGUAACUAACCACAGGGGUUGCGCUCGUUGCGCCACUUAAGGCAACACCUCACGGCACGAGCUGACGACAGCCAUGCAGCACCUUCGCGGGCGCCCCGAAGGGAAGCUCCGUUUCGGGAGCGAUCGCCCGAGAUUUAGCCCGGGUAAGGUUCUUCGCGUUGCAUCGAAUUAAGCCACAUGCUCCACCGCUUGUGCGGGCCCCCGUCAAUUCCUUUGAGUUUCAUUCUUGCGAACGUACUCCCCGACGGCUAGCAUCCAUCGUUUACGGCGUGGACUAC